Molecule: ribosomal RNA, 492 nt
Filed under: uncultured bacterium
Lineage: Bacteria
Description: partial 16S ribosomal RNA
Rfam family: Bacterial small subunit ribosomal RNA
Source: RNAcentral
AGUGAACGCUGGCGGUAGGCCUAACACAUGCAAGUCGAACGGCAGCACAGUAAGAGCUUGCUCUUACGGGUGGCGAGUGGCGGACGGGUGAGGAAUACAUCGGAAUCUACUUUUUCGUGGGGGAUAACGUAGGGAAACUUACGCUAAUACCGCAUACGACCUACGGGUGAAAGCAGGGGAUCUUCGGACCUUGCGCGAUUGAAUGAGCCGAUGUCGGAUUAGCUAGUUGGCGGGGUAAAGGCCCACCAAGGCGACGAUCCGUAGCUGGUCUGAGAGGAUGAUUAGCCACACUGGGACUGAGACACGGUCCAGACUCCUACGGGAGGCAGCAGUGGGGAAUAUUGGACAAUGGGCGCAAGCCUGAUCCAGCCAUACCGCGUGGGUGAAGAAGGCCUUCGGGUUGUAAAGCCCUUUUGUUGGGAAAGAAAAGCAGCAGGUUAAUACCCCGCUGUUCUGACGGUACCCAAAGAAUAAGCACCGGCUAACUUCGUG